Molecule: transfer RNA, 77 nt
Filed under: Bacillota bacterium
Lineage: Bacteria; Bacillati; Bacillota
Description: Firmicutes bacterium (anaerobic digester metagenome) tRNA-Pro
Rfam family: tRNA
About the family: Transfer RNA (tRNA) molecules are approximately 80 nucleotides in length. Their secondary structure includes four short double-helical elements and three loops (D, anti-codon, and T loops).
Source: RNAcentral
CGGGGUGUAGCGCAGUUUGGUAGCGCACUUGGUUUGGGACCAAGGGGUCGCAGGUUCAAAUCCUGUCACCCCGACCA